Molecule: transfer RNA, 65 nt
Filed under: Agriotes obscurus (dusky wireworm)
Lineage: Eukaryota; Metazoa; Arthropoda; Insecta; Coleoptera; Elateridae
Description: tRNA-Pro
Source: RNAcentral
CAGGGAAUAGUUUAUUUAAAAUAUUAAUUUUGGAGAUUAAUGAUAAGAGUAUUUCUUUUCUCUGA